Molecule: ribosomal RNA, 467 nt
Filed under: uncultured bacterium
Lineage: Bacteria
Description: partial 16S ribosomal RNA
Rfam family: Bacterial small subunit ribosomal RNA
Source: RNAcentral
GACGAACGCUGGCGGCGUGCUUAACACAUGCAAGUCGAACGGAAAGGCCCUGCUUUUGUGUGGUGCUCGAGUGGCGAGCGGGUGAGUAACAUGUGAGUCACCUGCCCUUGACUUUAUGAUAUCUUCAGGCAACUGGGGCUAAUACCGGAUAGGUGCUCCUGCUGCAUGGUGGGGGUUGGACAGUUUGGGCGGUUGGGGAAGUACUCGGGGUUUAGCAGCUUGUUGGUGGGGAACUGACUUACCAAGGCGUGGACGGCUAGCCAGCCUGGAAGGGUGAUCGGCUCCAGGGGCCUUGGGGAGGGACCAGGAGGCAUACUGGGGCAAGGGGGGGGAAUAUUGCACAAUGGGGGGAAGCCUGAUGCAGAAACGCCGCGUGCGGGAUGACGGCCUUCGGGUGGGAAACCGCUUUCGCCUGUGACGAAGCGGGAGUGACGGUAAUGGGUAAAGAAGCACCGGCUAACUACGUG